RNAcentral lists this ribosomal RNA (447 nucleotides) under uncultured bacterium. Its description in RNAcentral is "partial 16S ribosomal RNA". It matches the Rfam family "Bacterial small subunit ribosomal RNA", at positions 29 to 523 of the family's 1533-position model. The record is from RNAcentral.
AACGAACGCUGGCGGCAGGCCUAACACAUGCAAGUCGAGCGCCCCGCAAGGGGAGCGGCAGACGGGUGAGUAACGCGUGGGAAUCUACCGUGCCCUACGGAAUAGCUCCGGGAAACUGGAAUUAAUACCGUAUACGCCCUACGGGGGAAAGAUUUAUCGGGGUAUGAUGAGCCCGCGUUGGAUUAGCUAGUUGGUGGGGUAAAGGCCUACCAAGGCGACGAUCCAUAGCUGGUCUGAGAGGAUGAUCAGCCACAUUGGGACUGAGACACGGCCCAAACUCCUACGGGAGGCAGCAGUGGGGAAUAUUGGACAAUGGGCGCACGCCUGAUCCAGCCAUGCCGCGUGAGUGAUGAAGGUCUUAGGAUUGUAAAGCUCUUUCACCGGUGAAGAUAAUGACGGUAACCGGAGAAGAAGCCCCGGCUAACUUCGUGCCAGCCGCCGCAGUAA